RNAcentral lists this long non-coding RNA (10100 nucleotides) under Equus caballus (horse). RNAcentral describes it as "lncRNA (ENSECAG00000051158.1)". Lineage: Eukaryota; Metazoa; Chordata; Mammalia; Perissodactyla; Equidae. The record is from RNAcentral.
GUAUUUUAUCAAUAAAAAUAAAAGGUGUAUUUUGUUGAAAGCAGAGAUCCUGUUGUAUCCUGGAGGUGCAGUCCUUUGUCUGCUGUAACAAUGAAUGAAUUCUUUCCCCAGGAAGUCUUCUGUCUCAUUUGACUUGACCUGGUGUUUUAAAUCAGAAAACAUCUCCUCUGAGAUCUGGAGUGACCUGACUCUUUGCAAAGCCUUCACUUUCGAGAUGACGACACUGAAAUUCGUGAAAUGACUCACCAGUUAGGUCGUGGGGGAGUGGUGAUAGCCCCUGUUUCUAUGGAGCUUCCGUGAAGGUUAUUUCUCCCUAAAUGUCAACAAGGUUUUAAGGGAACAAAACGUUGAGGUUAUUUCUAAAGUUAUCACAUCUAACACAAAACCAAUUAUGUUUCUGUUUUACUUUGUAUCUUAUAAUUAAGCAUUUCCCAUAGUGCAGUGACAAGGAAAAAAUACAUAAGGCUUGUGUGGGGAAAGGCAGCUUCCUAGAAAAGUCUUUGUGAACCUUUGAAGAAAGUGUUUUUUAAACUACUACAUUUUAUUUUAUAUACAUAUAUAAAAGAGCCCAUUAUUUGAGGUCCCUAGAGCAGUCAAAUUCAUAGAGACAAAAAGCAGAACAGUGGUUGCCGGGGGCUGGGGGAGGGGAGAUGGGGAACUGGUUAAUGGGUACAAAGUUUCCUUUUUGCCUGAUGAAGAGUUCUGGAGAUGCCUGGCGGUGAUGGUUGCACAGCAAUGCGAAUGUGGAAGGCCCCAGAACAGGCCGCCCUAAAUUAUGCUGCUUUGGUUUAUUGAUUUUGAGCAGUGGGUGCUUGAAAAACAGCAGGUGCGGGAGAGGCUUUCUCUGUGCCCCCUUCUCUGCCUGAAGACAGGUCCCCCCAAAGCAGCUCGUGGUCACAGCUCCCCUCCCGGGAGUCUCACCAACCAGGUGACUGGCUCUUGUCACAAGGAGGACACUAGGACUUGACACCAAACUAUGUCACAAACUGUCACACCUCCCAGCGAUUCUUCUAAGGCCUGGUCAUCUUUCCUAAAACCAUUUACUCUUCCCUGAGGCCUGCGUUCCCGUCCCCUUCCCCGACUGAGAUGGUGCCUAAAUCUAAAUGCUAAAGCUCCUCUGGGACUCACUCAUUCUCCCCUGGGUCUCUCUCACGCACACAUGAAGGUGACACGUCCAUAAACUUUUGGGCAUUUUUUUCUCUUGUUGAUCUUUUACUACAGGGGUCUCAGCUGAGAACUCUGAAGAGUAGAGGAAAAAUUAUUUCUCCUUCCCUCCAACAUACUUAACACGACUGAAUUGUACACUUAAAAAUGGCUAAGAUGGUAAAUUUUAUGCAUACGUAUUUUGCCACAAUCUAAAAAAAAAAAGUCCCAAUAGGUUAACUAACUCCUUAACGUUCCUAAACUAGGCAAAUUCAGGGACUGGAACUUAAGGCUGAUUUUCUGACUGGCAGGGGACGAAAUUGGUUAUUUUUAAACUGGAGCAGUUUGUGUUCUGGCACACAACACAAAUGCACAAAUGUAAACAGGAAAAAGAACAAAAUCCCUUGGGCUUUUUUUUUUUCUUCCUAAGCUGCAGAUACCCUUGACUCCCUUUUACGGUUAUAUAACCGAUGACAAAGCAAGGCAAGCCUUUCCCACCCAGCUCUCCGAUUUCACCCUUUCUCCUGGGAGGACACUGUUUGCGGCCCAUUGUGCUCUGAGACAUUCUCACGAGGCUGAGUGAAGCCCCAUACUAGUUGUGACCUUCAGGGGAAACGAAUGUUUUGGAGGAAGGAAGAAAGGCAGGCAGACACACAGGCACCAGUCCAACCCCCUCCCCGCAACAGCCCAACACCCAGGCCCUUUGUGAGCUCAGCCCAUCACGUGCCCGAUCUGCCCGCCAAUCCCGCCCUGUUGCUGGCCUCUGUCACUUUCCCAUUGGUGCCAGCUCUGAAGCAAUUUCUUCUGGGGCGCCUGCAAAGGACGGAUCUGUGUGGGCGGAAAGAACUGAAAAUGGAUCCAGGGACUCAUCCAGCUUCUCGCACCUUCCAGCACACUGCAUUCUGAGUCAGAGGCGUUCAGGUUUUAGGAGCGUGACUUGGUACCUGAUUCCCGAUUCCCGAGUCCGAGCGGGACAUUUAGACCUUGGGAGCCCUUCUCAGCAAAGGGAAAAGCAGUGGCAAUAACAACAACAAAAAUCCUCUCUAGAGCAGGGUUCCUCAACCAAAUUACGGACAUUUAGGGCCUGGUGAUUCUGUGUCGCGGGGGCCUGUCCACUGUCGGAAGUUUCAUGGCAUCCCUGGCCUCUACCACUAGAUGCUAGCAGCGCCCCCCACCCCCACCAAGCACCACCACAGUUGUGACAGGCAAAAACGCCUCCAGACGUUGCCAGGUGUCCACGGAGGGGCAAAAAUGAUUCCCAGUUGAGAAGCGCUGCUCCAGAGGCACACCAGUCCCUCUCUUUGGGGGAGGUCAGCGCCGCCUCCCCUCUCUCGCUCAGUGCCCUGGGACAAAUGUUUACUUCUAUUUGCUUCAACAAAAACUCACUCUUGGACUUAAAUUAGGGGAUGCAAACGUUUUCAGAGAAGAUUUUCUGCUAGAGAAAAAAAAUCAGUGUUCUCAGCUCCGAAGAAUGUUGUUUUCUCUUCGGAGCUGACCCUGGGCCUCUCCCCGCCCCCUGAGACGCUCUCCCCCCUCCUCGCCCUCAGAAAUCAGGCCUGUUUUUCUCCAUGCCUUUUGGACUCCGAAAGAAGCCACGUCACAAAGCGUGUGACUCAGCCCUUAAACGACAUGAAUCACAAGGCUUGCAGCCGAGCAACAGCCGAAAGCAAACAAGGUGUGGUUUGAAGUGAGGCCUGGCCACCGGAGAAAGAACCUCAGUUUUCGUUCCUUUGAAAACUUCUCCCUGGAAUUUAGGGAGAAAUAACCUCAUAAAGAGCCUCUGCAUGGUGUUCCUUUAAAACCUCUUUCCAGAAAUUUAGAAAGAAAUAACCUUCACCCAAAUCUUUAUUGGCAGUCGCUGGCGUCUCCUGCUUUCCUGAACAAUGAAUUCUAUUUUUACCAUUUAUUUUAAUUUCCUACUAAUAAAUUCAUUCUCUUUGGACAAGGUUAAAAAUCACAGAGGGUAAAGCAUCUUCAGCACCGCUCAUGGAAGUGAGCAUGAGUGAGGCCAUCUUGUUGUGCUAAGUGGCCCCAGCCCCUCCUCCGUGUGACCACUCGCCGCUCUGCACGUACUCUGCACAAGCAUUCGCACGCCCUCCUGGUUUAUGGCCUCCGCUUGACGUGGGUGCUCCCUGACAGCUUCACAAACUCAAACUUUGUUCUGUGAGUUUCCCUCCAGGCACGGGCUGCCCACAGGCGGGAGGCACACCCACUAGGCCUCCACCACAGCGGGCAGAAGGGAGCAACGUGAUGCCCGCACCCCUCCUCGCUGCCCGUUCCCUAUAUUUGCCUCGAGACCCUGGAAUCCUUGAAGACGGGUUUUUGAGACCUUAGUCACCCAUCUUCCGAUUUGCCGGAAUUAAACUUCCUCUCUCGACCCCUAGCUGGUUGUGAUUAAUUGGCUCACACGGCGCCCAUGGCUCGGCGUCCCUCAGCCCUUCUUCAUAAAUACACACGUACACGGCUUCCCCGGGGAGACGCAGGGCAGUUCCGUCUUGAUUCCCAUCUCAGGGAGAACGCUUAAAUAUUAAAGUGCUCAGAAUUUAGAACAGGAGUGUGGUCUUCUCCUGAUGGCAACAGCUUUCAGUCAGCGGCCUUUCUGUUUUCUUCCUGAAGCUUCCAGGGCGGAAAUUAAAAUGCCCUCCCUCCUGCUCAUUUGUAGAAACAGGGAGUACUUCUAGAAGAGUCCAGAAGGAGCGGCCUGCAGCACGGGGGCACGAGGGGGCCUUCUCACCGCCAGCUCUCACAGACCUGCUUUACCUCUGCACCGUGCUCACGUGUUUUAAGACACUUUUCUCCGCUUUAAUCAAAAUGGGAUUUGCCUCUGGAAUUAAAUAUCGCGUGUGGGAUACUGAGGGUUAUUUCCCCAGAAACACACAGGGCCGAGACUCACUCAGCGUCUGUCUGAGCCUUGACCUAAAUCUCUGAAACGUGAAAUUUCCGAGCGCAGCUGCACAGCGACAGAGCUGACAUUCGGGGGGCUCCUCGGUUAUCAUCGGGGACAAAGGUCCCAGGCGGAAGGCCAGGCGAUCGCACAGCCGGGCUAGAACAAUCUGGAAGGUUCUGCCCUGUCAGCGCCGGGGGUCUGACGAGGCCGGGAGGCAUUCCCGCCUUCCUGGCCGGCGGCGGGCAGCCGGGCCCGAGCACCUUGUCGGGGGCGGGCGCGCCGCCGCCGCGUCCGGCCGGAAGCCGCGAUCUGCCGAGUCAUCCGCCCUGUCCCGGUGCCCGCCGGCGCGGGGGAUGGGCUGGGGCCCCGGGGAGCCCGCGCCCGGCCCGGCCCGGGGGGAGGGAGUUUGGGGAAGCACGAACACUGCCGUUACUUUCAAUGUCACCCUGUCAAGGGUCCCUCAGGGUCGCGGGGGGCGCGCAGGGCGCGUGCGCGCGAGGGGAGCGGGACCCGACUCCGCCUGAGGCGCUCGGCCGGAGGCCUGUCCGCCAGGGGCGGGUCCCGUGCCCGGGAGACGCGGGGUCGUUAGGGUUGAGGGGAGGGGGCGCUGGGGCCGGGCUGCACGGAGAGCCCGCUCCGGCCGCCCGGGAGACUCCGCGCCGGGUUUUCGCGCCCGCCGCGGGCCGCUCCCCCGCCCCCGCCGUCGAACGCCGGCCACGCCGCGGACGCAGCGCGCCGAGAACGCGGUGAUCCCUCCGCCCGGCCUCUCAGGACUGCGGCCCCCUCCCCACCAGACUCCGCUCCAGAGCCCCGGUCUUAACAGGGGAACACUUCAGGAGGGGGAUUAGGGGAUUCCGGGGGGCUGCGCUUCUCUACAGGCAGCAGGAAGGGCUGAGAAAAGUAGUCCCUUCUAGGCGUUUCUGCGGAGGGAUCUUGCGGGGCGGGGCCACGGUUGCUAUAUAAGGGCGCGCCGGGUGUGGUGCAGCCAGUUUCGUCCAGGCCGGGAGUUCGUUGCUUCCUCUUCUCUGCGUGCGGCUGUCAUCGCGAUUUGACAAUGCAGAUCUUCGUGAAGACCCUGACGGGGAAGACCAUCACCCUGGAGGUGGAGCCCAGCGACACCAUCGAGAACGUCAAGGCCAAGAUCCAGGACAAGGAGGGUAUCCCCCCCGACCAGCAGAGGCUCAUCUUCGCCGGGAAGCAGCUGGAGGAUGGGCGCACCCUGUCUGACUACAACAUCCAGAAAGAAUCUACUCUGCACCUGGUCCUGCGCUUGAGGGGAGGUGUCUAAGGUCCCCCUUUUAAGCCUCUGACAAAUUACAUUGCACUUUUCUUUCAAUAAAGUUGUUGCAUUCCCAAAUAGUGUGGGUUUUUUAAUGUCAUGUGAGGUUCUUUUUCGUUAGGGUGUGGUGCAAGGGAUCAUGGUUUCCAGUCUACCAAAUGAUUCUCUGGUAACCAAGAGUUAAGAAAUACCAGUAAAAGAUUGCCUUAAUAUAGAAUUGUAGUGGGUGGGUACAAAUAAAGACUAGGCAAAUUAGAGGUUGCUUUUAGAAUUUCCUGUAUAUACACAUAUAUAGACAUUUGAGGGCUACUGACAUUAAAAAUACUGAGUUUGGGGGUGGUUGUGAGGUACCUGAGCAUGGGGAAGUUUCUGGAACACUAGCAGGAAGGAGAUAAGAGGAGGGGUGAUUGUGGUAGAAGGGAACUUACAGAAGUAGCUUUAAUGUCUAGCUGUACUUAAAUCCACGAGCUGCACAGAAGGUUGUCAUCUGACAGACUUUAAAGAAUAUGGCGAGUAUUGUAUAUUAAAUAAAAAUUACCUGGUAGGCAUUAUGCUAGUGUUUGGGCAUUAGUGGUUAUUUGAAAUGUCAUAAUUACUGCUGAAGUAAGUUGUCAAGGUGAUUCCUCGGUUUUCAUGUGGCUACAGAUAAAGGUUUGUAUAUAACUUCAUUGGUGGUGGGUGGAGCAUCUGGCCUUUGGUCUUAGUUUCCAGAAGUUUGUGGUGGUGGCAUUUACCCACUCAGCUGGUGCUGAUAAGGGAUUAUUUUUACGUCUUAACUAGAACCUAAGGUGGAGGUUGCAGGGAAGCUGGUCUAGUAUAAGCAAUUGGCCCUUGGUGAUGGGCACCCCAGAAAUCGGAGCCCCAUCUAAGCGCUGGAAGGGAUUGUCUUCUCCAGAGAGCACCAUUCCCUCCACUGCUCCCUUGCACUCCCCCAGUUUUGGGGUAUCCAUGCAUAACCUCUGAUGUAGAAGGAAAUUUUGUGUUGUCACUGCCAGUUGUAAAAUGGCCAGAACCAGGUUUAAGUCCUAGGUUCAGGGAUCACAACUAGAAAAUUGAGGCCAUUUGAGAAAUCCAUAAAUCUUAGGCAAGUCUGUUAGUUUCUGUGGUUUUUCACAAUAGGCUGGUAGAAGCAUGUGUAACACAGUUUGCUGAAUUUCCAUCCCUUGCCCGUACAAGAUAACAUAGGUCAGGAAGCAACAUUACAAGAACCCCAGGAACUUCACCAGCAGCUGUAACCAGUUACCAGUUACGAUGCUAGGAGUUUUUGUGCAAGUGAUUUUGGUGCUUGUUAGAAAUGAGUGGUCGUAGUACAGGGAAAACAUCUUAAUAGCAUCUUGAAAAUGACCGCUCUGCAGGACAGGUGGUGUAAGGUUCUUAGUCAGUGUUAAUGUAUUACAGGCAACUACUAAGUAUUAAUUCCCACUCACACAGUAGCAUACUGGUUUGUAGUCUGUCCUGCACCUUGUUUUUUGUAUUAUAUAUCAUGGUUUUGGCAGAGUUCUAACAUCUUUUCAUUUUGUAUAAAGGAAAAACACCUUUUGUGUAAUUUUCUCAAGGACAAACCACCCGGGCAACACAAUCCCUAGUGAACUUUUACAGUACCCUCCACCCAAUAAACGGCAUGUCAGAAGCCGUAGUGAUCCAGUGAUGGAUGAGAAGGUUUUCUGCCAUCAGGGGAUCCUUAGUCUAAGAGCAGACUUGCUGGACUUGUUCAGUUUCAUUGAAAGAUUGUUAAAUCUUAAAGCCCCCCAAAGUUUGGUUUCACAUUUGAAUGAAUACUAUGUAAGAACUCACAGACAUGUGGUUCUGUCUCUUGAACAAACCAGAAAAGAUAUGCAUGGCUUGUGUUAAGCUCAUGUUCCUUUUUAUGUUUUGUCUGAAAGCACAACAAAGUCUUCACUAAAAACAGGAUCUCCUGCAAGUUAUGAGUAUGGCCCUAAUAGAGGUAGAAUGUUGAGAGAUCGGCAAGGGCCCUUCAAUGAAGCCGGUCAGCCACCUUAGCGUGCGGUGCUGGUUUCUGCCGGCAGAGGGAGCUCCGGGCACAGACUUCGGUGGAGGCCUGCAGCCUGCAGUGCUCCCAGGCGGUUGCGGUUGACCAGGCAGUUGAUGUACUCACCAGCAAGGGUUACUUUACUCUCAUUUUUCUCCUUCUACCGGUGCUGCAGCCACCUCCGUUUCUACCCCAGCUCGAAUUACUCCAUAAUAUCUAAUAUAGCUGUUACUCAGACCCUCUUUCUUACUGAAUCUCACCAGCCCUCACCGCUCAAAUGCCCUCCUGCCCGCUUCCCCUGUCCGCUGGCCACUUUCUUUUCCCCACCUGCUCCCUGCCAUUUUGCACCUCUUUCCUUCGAGCUACUCCGUCUUUCUGAAAUACCACCCCUCCCACCUCGACAAAUCCAAUCCUGCCCGAUGUCAAGCCCUGAUUUAAAGAAUGCCCAAAGCCUGCCUUGACUGUCCCAGCUGGACAGUGGCUGUCUUCCCUGAAAUCGCGUAGCUCUUUCUAUUUUGUGUUGAAGCUCUUCACUCAAAUGAGGGAGCUCUGCUCCUGUGUGUUUCCCCAGCACAGUGGCGUCUUUAUUAAGUAUGAGAUGUAGUGUUUCAUGGGCUCUUCAUUAGUCCUUCCCCAGACAAGAUGGCUGUAGAAAUCCUGAAAUGAUUCCUGUGGGGCUUCCUAAUUUGCUUGAAAAGAAAACUAGGCACAGAGCUAGAUAGAAGACAGAAGGCAAAUGUUUUCUACCUUGAAACGUAUAUUGCACAGAUCUGAACAAUUAGUAAAAUGAUGGGGUUGUAUGAUCAGAGGCUUUCAACGAGUAAUAAAGGAUGCUUUUAAGAGUAGUAAAUCAAUGAAUAAUAGUAGUCAGUGGUUUGUGUCAAGCCCUGUCUCUACCACCAGAAAAAGUUGAUUUCUGUCUUGCAGAGUGGUCAAGAAUAUAGGCGUCUUUGUUUCCUUUUUUAAGCCAUUCUGCUUUUUGACUGGCUUUUGCGACAGCAUUAGUUUUUUACCAGGCAGAAGAGAAGCCUUGGGCUGUAACCAGAGGUGAGAUGGCUGAAAUCUCAGUGGUCCUCCAACUAGAAUUAGACUGAACAACAGUGUGUGAGUUAGGAGUGCUUUUGGCUACAGGACACAGAAAGAUCCAAAUCACAGAGGAUCAAACAAGGGGGUGUUCAUCUUCUCAUAACAAGCAGUCUGGAUGUAAACCCCAAGCAUUUGCUUUGUUGUGAUUCUCUUGUUCUUUCCCUCAUAGUUGCAAAAUUGUUGUCACAGCUCCAGAUAUCACAUCUGUAUUCAAAGCAGGGAGAAGUGCGGAGCAGUGGGGUCAGCCACGUCAGGUUUUUUUAAUGAAGAAAAUACAGGCUUUCACUGACUUACCCUCAGGUCUCGUUGAUCAGAACUGGUCAAGGGGCCAGAAUGGUUUAAAAUACAGGGUUUCUCAAACUCAGCACUAUUGACCUUUUAGCCUGGAUAACUCUUUAUUGUGGGAGCUGUCCUGUGCACUGCAGGAUGUUUAGCAGCAUUUCUGGCCUCUGUCCACUGGGUGCCAGUAGCCCUCAGUGGUGACAACUAAAAAUAUUUCCAGAUGUUUCUGAAGUCCCCUGGGAGGCAAAAAUCAUCCCCCCUUGAGAACCGCUGGUUUAGACCAGUCAUGAUCCAUUGCUUGAGGCUGGCUGUAUUUCCACCUUGAAAAAAAAAUCAGAAUUAGUAAAGCAAAAAGACGGUCAUGGGUCUAGGGGUGGGCAGCUAAAAGCAGCGAUAAUGAAAUCUAAGGGCACUCUUAUUUUUUGUCGUCUUGGUAAAACUCAGUGUUACACAUCAUUAGACCAGUGGUUCUUAGGACGCAGUGUAGAAGAGGACACCAUGGGGACUUGUUAAAAAUGCAGUGCCUCAGCCCCCUCCCGGAGGCCCAGAUUCAGCAGGGCUGGGGUAGUGCCAGGAUCUGCAUUUUUUUUUAAUUGAGGUCAUAAUAGUUUAUAACAUUGUGAAGUUUCAAUUGUACAUUAUUAUUUGUCCAUUACCAUGCAUAUGUGCCCCUUUCACCCUUGUUCCUGCUCCCCACCCCCUUCUCCUCUGGUAACCACUAGUCUGUUCUCUUGUCAUGUGUUUGUUUAUCUCCCACAUGAGUGAAAUCGUACAAUGUUUGUCUUUGUCUGGCUUAUUUCGUUUAACAUAGUACCCUCACGGUCCAUCCAUGUUGUUGCGAAUGGGACGAUUUUGUCUUUUUUUAUGGCUGAGUAGUAUUCCAUUGUGUGUAUAUAGCACAUCUUCCUUGUCCAGUCGUAACUGAUGGGCACUUGGGUUGCUUCCACGUCUUGGCUAUUGUGAAUAAUGCUGCAGUGAACAUAGGGGUGCAUAAGUCUCUUUGGAUUGUUGAUUUCAAGCUCUUUGGAUAAAUAUCCAGUAGUGGGAUAGCUGGGUCAUAUGGUAUUUUUAUUUUCAAUUUUUUGAGAAAUCUCCAUACUGUUUUCCCUAGUGGCUGCACCAGUUUGCAUUCGCAGCAGCACUGUAUGAGGGUUCCCUUUUCUCCACAUCCUCUCCAACAUUUAUUUUUAGUUUUGGUGAUUAUAGCCGUUCUAACAGGUGUAAGAUGAUAUCUCAUUGUAGUUUUGAUUUGCAUUUCCCUGAUGAUUAGUGAUGCUGAACAUCUUUUCAUGUGCCUGUUGGCCAUCUGUAUAUCUUCUUUGGAGAAAUGUCCGUUCAUGUCCUCUGCCCAUUUUUUGAUUGGGUUGUUUGUUUUUUUGUUGUUCAGUUGUGUAAGUCUUUUUUUUUUUUUUUUUUUUUUUAGUGAAAGCCCG